UUCUACACCUUUGAUGUUUAUUUCUUUAGCUUUCUGUUCCAAAUAUUCUGAUGAUUACAGCUUGCCGCAAGCUAUCUCGGUAUUAGAGACAAACGCAGAGGUUACUUACGAAACAUUUGACUGAUUAUGUGACUGAAUGCGAAAAUUAUGUUUAAAUAUUUAUUUUAUACUGAUGACAAAUUCAAGAAUUAAUGAUGUAUCUUAAUAGGUGCCCCAAUAUGGCCGUAGUCCAAUAAUUGAAACCAAUAAAAGAAAUGAAAGUGAGAAUGACUGAAGAAAGAAUUGCAGGACAGACUCUACAAUAAAAGCAACCGGUAGUAAACCUAAUGGUAGAACCAUAAACGAGAUGGCUGGAUAAGACUGAAAAAAGAGGAAAAGAAAAGUAUUGUUUCGGUUAUUUAUUUCCUGUCGGAUACUUCAAACAAUCUCAUCAUUUUAUUUACUCAUUCGAUAAAGUAGAAUGCUAUUGGAAUAGCAUUAUCUCCUCAUACAUUCUGAAGAUGCUCCUAACAUCAUGGUAACCAUGAUAUCAGAAUCAGCUCUUGCGACAUCAUGACUUCGGCGCUUGAUCUGCGAUUAUUUAAAACCCAUCGCUUUUAUAUCAACCGUGCUGCUUUUUCAGUAGUGAGUAUACUUGCCGAACUACA
Octopus bimaculoides (California two-spot octopus) is the source of this 647-nucleotide long non-coding RNA. RefSeq lists it as uncharacterized. Lineage: Eukaryota; Metazoa; Mollusca; Cephalopoda; Octopoda; Octopodidae. The record is from RefSeq and is a predicted model, not a curated record.